Molecule: ribosomal RNA, 253 nt
Filed under: uncultured bacterium
Lineage: Bacteria
Description: partial 16S ribosomal RNA
Rfam family: Bacterial small subunit ribosomal RNA
Source: RNAcentral
UACAGAGGUCUCGAGCGUUGUUCGGAUUUAUUGGGCGUAAAGGGCGCGUAGGCGGCUUUUCAAGUGACGGGUGAAAUCCCUCGGCUUAACCGAGGAACUGCCUGUCAGACUGGAAGGCUUGAGACCGGGAGAGGUGAGUGGAAUUCCCAGUGUAGCGGUGAAAUGCGUAGAUAUUGGGAGGAACACCAGUGGCGAAGGCGGCUCACUGGACCGGAACUGACGCUGAGGCGCGAAAGCGUGGGGAGCAAACAGG